ACGGGUGAGUAAUGUCUGGGAAACUGCCUGAUGGAGGGGGAUAACUACUGGAAACGGUAGCUGAUACCGCAUAACGUCGCAAGACCAAAGAGGGGGACCUUCGGGCCUCUUGCCAUCGGAUGUGCCCAGAUGGGAUUAGCUAGUAGGUGGGGUAACGGCUCACCUAGGCGACGAUCCCUAGCUGGUCUGAGAGGAUGACCAGCCACACUGGAACUGAGACACGGUCCAGACUCCUACGGGAGGCAGCAUG
RNAcentral lists this ribosomal RNA (250 nucleotides) under uncultured bacterium. RNAcentral's name for it is "partial 16S ribosomal RNA". It matches the Rfam family "Bacterial small subunit ribosomal RNA", at positions 102 to 353 of the family's 1533-position model. The record is from RNAcentral.